GCACUUUGUGACUGAUGGUAAUGAUUGUAUUUUUCCUCCCUAAGCCGGACAGCAGCAGACAACAAAUUCCAGAAAAACGUCAGAGACAGGAGACACCAUCGACCAGUUCCACCGUGCUGCCGUUCUUCAUACACGAAAGGGAAGAGGACCAGCAGCAGGAGGAUCAUCACUCAAACCUGGAGAAUUAUCUUUUCAAAGAAAUAUCAUAUGAAUAUGAUUCUUUUAAUAAGUUAUUUAAAGUCCAGUAUAUAGAUUCAAGGCAGCAAUUUAUUUUAGAACUUAUUGCUCAUCAUGAAAGCUUGUGUUUGCCCUCAAUUGAAAAUACCAGUAAUUUACAACCAGUGACAUCAACAACAGCCAGUGCUCAAGAUUCACCGGCUGCGAAUGUUUCACCAAAUAACAACUCCUCGGUUGGUAUUACUUACAAUACAGGAGCAUUUAUAAUGUGGUUCCAGGAUAAGUUAAAAGAAAGCAAAGAUGAUGAAAAAAAAACAGAUCUUUUUAUUGACAUAAUGAAAUUAUAUUUGAAAUUAGAAAAAUUAAUUAUCCCUUUAGUUGAAGCAGAUGAGCCUAUGCAGUCUCUCUUUGACAAACACCAAAAGAAACACAGCCGAAAGGAAAAGCAGUACGCGUUUGCUAUUGUGUUUUUUAAAGAUGGUAAAACUGAGAUUUCUUCUCUAUUUUAUCCACGUCAUUCAACAAAGAGAAGUCAUUCUGAUUCCAUCAUUAGAGAUACAUUACACAGUGAGGAAAUCUUAAUCAAAAACAUUGAUAAUCUCUUUCAGAACAAUGUAGACGAUGUGCAACAUGUUUUCAUCUAUACGCACAACAGCCCAUGUAUGAAGAGAGAAAAAACACAUAUAGACCCGUGUAUGUUUCUACUACGAAAGAAAGCAGAUCAGUGGCUCAAUAAAUAUGGAAUUUCUACAACCGUUGCUUUCAAAAGGUUUUGGGGACAAAGUCAUCCAAACUAUUUCAAUUAUGUCACAGACAUCUCUUCUCCCAGCAGUGUUUUUUAUCCAUAUACUGAACAAUGUGACAGUAUGUCCUUCAAAUUAGACUUCAAGAAAUUAACACCUGGGGAGAUCCUGAACCUCACAGAUGUUGAAGUCAAAAAGAGGCCGAAACUAUGUAAAGACAUUGAAUCUGUUCUUACCAGUCUUAAGGAAUUGACAGAAACAACAUUUGGUUUGAAAACAGAUCAUGUUGAGAGGGGAGAGAGAAUGAUUGUCCAAAGUCUUGAAAACUUCCAGGAUCUGGACAUUGGGAUAAAAAUCUCCAAAACUCUGAGAGAGAAGUGGGUUGAAAUGGUGAACAACAGUUUUUUGUCACUGAUAAGAGAAACAAUAACCGCUGAUUUCAAGACUGCACAGGUUCAUCUUGCUGUAGAAGAUCUUCAGCUGGGGGACAACAGCCCCUUACAGCUCUAUCACAUCCUGGAUAGAAAUCAGAAUAUGUUGAAUUGAUAAAAAAUACAUUUUUUGAAUUGAUAUAUAAACUCUGGGUAUCAAUUGUAAUUAUUGUACUGGUUACAGUUGUAACUCACGUUUGUUCUGGAU
Molecule: long non-coding RNA, 1559 nt
Organism: Sparus aurata (gilthead seabream)
Lineage: Eukaryota; Metazoa; Chordata; Actinopteri; Spariformes; Sparidae
Source: Ensembl